GACGAACGCUGGCGGCGUGCUUAACACAUGCAAGUCGAACGGAAAGGCCCUGCUUUUGUGGGGUGCUCGAGUGGCGAACGGGUGAGUAACACGUGAGUAACCUGCCCUUGACUUUGGGAUAACUUCAGGAAACUGGGGCUAUUACCGGAUAGGAGCUCUUGCUGCAUGGGGGGGGUUGGAAAGUUUCGGCCGUUGGGGAUGGACUCGCGGCUUAUCAGCUUGUUGGUGGGGUAGUGGCUUACCAAGGCUUCGACGGGUAGCCGGCCUGGGAGGGUGACCGGCCACAUUGGGACUGCGGUACGGCCCAGUCUCCUACGGGAGGCAGCAGUGGAGAGUAUUGCACAAUGGGCGGAAGCCUGAUGCAGAAACGCCGCGUGCGGGAUGACGGCCUUCGGGUUGUAAACCGCUUUCGACUGUGACGAAGCGUGAGUGACGGUAAUGGGUAAAGAAGCACCGGCUAACUACGUG
Molecule: ribosomal RNA, 468 nt
Filed under: uncultured bacterium
Lineage: Bacteria
Description: partial 16S ribosomal RNA
Rfam family: Bacterial small subunit ribosomal RNA
Source: RNAcentral